ACCUCCGAAGUCCGAAGCACACUAUGGUCUCACCCCGUACACACAUAUACCUUAUCGGAAGAUAGAAUUCAAGAUAGUAGGCUAGGUAUGUAACAGACGACAACUCAAUCCCUGAAUGUUUUCUGGCAGUGGGAUAAGCUGAGUGAACAUACUGCGAGCACCUGUGGACACUAUUUUUCCAUGUCCCUCUUUUCUUUUCUGUCCGUGUGGUACCCUCUGAAGUCAUCCUUCAUUGCCACCACUUUUAUCAUCAUAAGUCCUUUGUCCUCUCUAAUUAUUAUAAAAACAAAAAUCCUGGAACAAAAAAUAUGAAGAAAAGUUAUUGAAACAUUACAUAGAAAUAUAAAUUUGGGAACAUAAAUCAUAAACAUAAGUUAGAAAGAAAAGUUAUGAACAAAGGUUUUUAUACCAAAGAAUUAUGGACAAGUUACUGGAGCAAAACUUAGCAACAAAAUUUAGAAUAAAGGUUAUGAGACAAAAGUUAGGAAAAUAAAUUGUUGAAAUAAAAGCAAUGAACAAAUUGUAGGAGAAAAUUUCAAGAACAAAAGUUAUGAACAAGUGGAUUUGUAUCACAAAUUAAUACACGAAAAAUCUAGAACAAAUUUCAGAAACAAAAAAUUGAACAAAAAAAUGGAAAUAAAAUACUAAAAAGAGAGGAAAACUUAAGGGCUAACUAUUGUUGGGCAAGCCACUGCCACUUCUUCACUGCUUCCAACCACCCCACUGGGACUUCUCUCGCGGUUGUCAAAGGAGAAAAGGGAACACCAGGAGUUAAGAAAAACUCAAUGGACCUCCCAACACCUACUCGUGCAUGAUAAAGAGGAGCUUUGGCGAAACUCUAGCUCACUCGCGGUGCCACCUUCUUCCCCCCCACCCCCCACCCCCUCGCUGUCGCCAUGGCUGUCGCUGCCACCCUACCUUGGUCUGGCCGCCUCCACCGCCAUCAGGGCCCCUAAACUACCCCCAACUUCCCCAACGCCUAACCAACCUUCCCCAAACCUCUUUCCUUCUAAGGCCACUAAAGUUUGAGAAGAUGAGAGGGAGAACUCGCUAGAACCCGAAGGAGCAGAUCCAGAACGAGGAGAGGAGGCCUACGUUGUUGGCGCCUGAACCUACCGCCACUGACAGAGGGAAGAGAGUGAGACACCACGUGGGGAGGUGGUGGGGUGUGGGCACGGGGAGGAGGUCGCCAGGGAGAGAGAAUGAGGUGGGCGAAGAAGGAGACGAGGAGGAUGACUGAGAUAGAGAGGUGGGACACGGUCAUGCGGGUGUGAGAGCAAGUGUGUGUACGAGUGGAUUAUAAGGCUAUGUGUUUUUACCUCCCCACGGGUCGUAAGGAAGUCUUUACCUGUCUACCCAACAACUAUGUGUUUUUAGCAUUUCAACACAUGAAUCUUUGUUAGCCAUAGGAUAAAGAUCCAACAGCCUCCAGCUUUCUUCUACCUCCAGCCUUCUUCUUCUCGAGUCACAGAUUAUAGGUCAUAAGAAAUAUUUUUUUCUAUAGAAGGACAGAUCACAUUUUUUUAUCAUAGAUCAUAAGAAAUAUUUUUUAUAGAAGACAGAUCACAAUUUUUUCUAUACAAGCACAAUCACAAAUCAUAAAUCAGAAGGAGGAGAGGCCUACUCGGUGGUGUCACCACCAUGGCCGGUGCGGGCGCAGGUGCGAGGGCGCGGUCGCCGAACGCCGUCGGGGGCCACGCUGAGGAGGCGCGUCGGGGAAGGAGGCACGGGCACAAUGGCGGGGGCACACAUCGAGGGUGGGGCAGGCGUCGGGAGGAAGGGAGGGGAGGAAGAGGAAGAGAGUGAGGGAGGAAUAAGAUGUGG
Molecule: long non-coding RNA, 1824 nt
Filed under: Sorghum bicolor (sorghum)
Lineage: Eukaryota; Viridiplantae; Streptophyta; Magnoliopsida; Poales; Poaceae
Description: long non-coding RNA (SBIC_LNC003727)
Source: RNAcentral